GAAUUGUUGGGGCUGGAAAUUAUUAGCAUGUGGACUCAACCUUCCUGGCCUUGCUGGAAAUCCUGGGCUUAUAUUGUUAUUGGCAUUGGGGGGGAGCUGCUAUCUUCAUGCCGCACCACUGGCAUUUGCAUCUCCUGCUGUCCAUUGUGUGAAGGCUAAAAGAGCAGAGUGAUCAAAGUGAAGUUCCUCUUGUUUUGACUACUUCAGAGUUGAGAUGAUCAAUCCAGAUACAUAUGGGAGGGAUAUAUAUAUAUAUAUGGAACAAGUGGAUGUAUGAUUUAAAUUUUAUGGGUGCGAAUUUGUAAGUCUAUGCCACAACCCUUUUGAUUUGUAAUAACUUGUACUUGUUUAGUGAAUCUUUUAACACAUAUACAA
Long non-coding RNA from Solanum dulcamara, 375 nucleotides. RefSeq lists it as uncharacterized. The transcript has 2 exons. NCBI's taxonomy places the organism in Eukaryota, Viridiplantae, Streptophyta, Magnoliopsida, Solanales, Solanaceae. The record is from RefSeq and is a predicted model, not a curated record.